RNAcentral lists this unclassified non-coding RNA (196 nucleotides) under rhizosphere metagenome. Its description in RNAcentral is "partial ribosomal RNA internal transcribed spacer region". The record is from RNAcentral.
GAAGUACAGGCCCCUUCGGGGGCUAAACUUCCACCCUUUGUUUACCUUACCAUUGUUGCUUUGGCGGGCCGCCAUUAGGCCACCGGCCCUCGAGCUGGUGCGUGCCCGCCAGAGACCCCCAAACCCAAACCAUAUUAGUGUCGUCUGAAAACAAGUUUAAAUUAUUAAAACUUUCAACAACGGAUCUCUUGGUUCU